Saccostrea cuccullata (small rock oyster) is the source of this 6926-nucleotide long non-coding RNA. RefSeq lists it as uncharacterized. The transcript is spliced from 2 exons. The record is from RefSeq and is a predicted model, not a curated record. Lineage: Eukaryota; Metazoa; Mollusca; Bivalvia; Ostreida; Ostreidae.
AAUUUUAUGUCUCAUAAAAUGAUUUAUAUACAAUCUUUUUUACAUUGUUUUUGACAAAUUUAGAUUAAAUUUGCAGUUGUUAUUGAUUUUUUAUGUAAAAAGAGUGGGGUCGACUAGAUCGGGAUCGAACUCAUGUUUGGAUCGGGUUCAGUUUGAUCGGGAUCGAGUGCUAAAUUAAUUUGAUUUGACGCAAACAUGAGGUUGGAAUCAAUUUAGAGAGAUAUUCAAAUUUCUCUGAUUUUAAGCUAUAUUUCUACUCCUGUGACAUCACCUCAGAUGCGUUAUUAGUUUGAACAGUUUGAUGGAUUGUGCAAUUGUCUUAAUCGAUUUCGGAUUAGUCAGCAUGGAGGUAAAAACCUGAUAUCCCAAACCGCGCACUGUAGUGCAGAUAGGUCAAUCCUUCUUUGAAGAGUUGCUUUGUGUUUUUUAACUGAAUGAACCAGAUUUCGAUAAUUCACGGCUACAGAAACAUACAUUUAAAUUGUUUAUAUGAGCCAGGGGCGGUCUCAAGACCCGCGAGCUAGCCAGUUCAAGAGAAUAUUUCUCGACUUUCAAGUGGGUCAGCAGACAUCCAUCCAAAUAGGCAACAGUGAUUGACAAUAAUAAACUUUUACACAAUCAAUAUCACCAGUUCACCAGCAAUAAUUUAAUUUGGCACCACUGCAGUUUCUGGAACCCAGACAUGAAAUACUUGGCAAGUGAUGGGGUUCACCUGAAGACAACAGCUGCGACCACCGGUUCAUGAAGUACCUUCAGAACAUAAAAAGUGCUGCCCUCCAUGCCUCCCAUCUGACUGGAUGGGAGAAUAAUGAUAAGUAGUACAUUGCACAUAUGAUGAUUGAUUGUUAUGCAUCAGUGUUUUCCAUUUAUUUCAAAGUAAAGGAUUAGAGAUCACAAAAUCUCUGUGGAUCUUACAACAAAUUGUUAUUCUAAAGCGACAAUUUUGUCAUUUAUAGAUAGGGAAAACACUGAAUGCAUGUGAUAAAGAUUCUGGCUAAUUCCGCAAUAUGUCAUGUCACAUGUUACACAAAAUAUGACAUUAUAUUAGUGCUUAUUUAAUUUCAACAUAAACCUCGACAUGUCUCUGCACAUUAUGUUACAUGAAUUAAUAAUUUGCUGUCAAUGUCAGCACUUACCAAAAUUUUGGGAAUCGCCAAUGGAUUCCAUCAUAUUAUGUGAAGGCUCCAAUUUGUUUUUCUUAAUCUUCCCAAUGGCCAAUGAAGGUUGGGACGAUUUGUUUAUUUAUUAAAAUAUGGCUGCCUAUCAAUGUUUUAUGUAUGUGAAGGCUCCAGCUGUUUUUGUCAGUGUCAGUACUGGUCAGUAUGGGAAUCGUGAAUUGAUUCCAAUUGAUGUUGGGAAUCGUGAAUUGAUUCCAGUAUGAUUAUGGGAAUCGUCAAUUGAUUCCAUCAUGUUAUGUGUAGGCUACCGUUUGUUUUUCUUAAUCGCCCAAUAUCUGAUGAAGGUUGGGACGAUCUGUUUCUUUAUUUCAAAAAAGGAAUUUGUUUUUCUUAAUCUUCCCAAUAUCUAAUGAAGGUUGGGAGGAUCUGUUUAUUUAUUUAUAAGUGGUUUGCCUAUCAAUGUCUUUUUGCAUGUGACUAUGUGAAGGCUCCAGUUUGUUUUUCUUAAUCUUCCAUGUAUCUAAUGAAGGUUGGAAGAUCUUUUUAUUUAUUUAAAAAAAAAAGGGUUGCCUAUCACUUUUAUGUCACGGUUGAUGAAUUUUAUGAUGACCAUGAUGUACUGACCUGUUUUAAGCUGAGCCGACACUUGUAUAUAUAAUAGAUUGGCAACAUGCAUUGUGAAGAGUUCAAUAACAAAUGAUGAAGAUGAAAUAUGUAAGCAUGUUUGCUCCUAUCCACCAUGUGUUUAUAACUUGGUGGCAAAGAAAAUUAUUAAUUCUAUUAUAUUAUCACCUAUGGCAAUUACAACUGCUUAGACUUAUUGUAGAAUAAAAGGACACCAAAAAAGAGGAAAUGUGAUGGGUCCGAAGCCUCCCAAAAAGGUGAAGUUACGCAGUUAACCGGCUCAAUUGCUCUCUGUGGAUUCAGUUUGGGUAAUUCGAUGGAUUCCAACUGAUCAUCAACUCAAGUGGCUGCUCCAAAAAAUCAGCUGGCAGCAGCAAAUCUUAGACAGCAGCAACAGCCUUGACUCUCAGCAAUGCUUCUACAAACAAGAUCGCUUCAAAGGCUGCACCACUGCACUGCAGACUUCUAUAACAUCUUCUACUGAUUUGAAUAGUUCCUAUUUGGUAAACACCUUUAUAACAGUUGCAUUGCUUUUCCUUAUAACAGUUGCAUUGUUUUUCAGGUGUUCGGUGGCAGAUACAUUUAACAGUAAUAACUAGAUUCUGUCCCAUUAUCGGUAGACAAAUAAAAAAAAAAAUAAAUAAAUAAAUAAAAUCUUUAAUGAUCAUUGCAUUGACCUCAAAAGUUUACUUCUAAAUUUAAAAUAGAAAAAUAUUUCAAUUCAGAUAGAAAAUAAUGUUAAGCAUUAAAUCCUCAGUCAACUAGUUUUAAUUGUAAUGGGAACCAUUUCAGAUGUUCACUAAAUGCUCCCCCAAGUUCCUUAUGUCCUUCCUGGUGUCUUAUUCUCGGCAAGCUUAAUAAAAUAAGGCAAUCUAAUAUUUUAUUCAUUUUAGGGUUUACACACACACAAAUACAUGCACAUACAUAAUGACCAUAUCAAAAUGUUUACACUUUUAAUGCAUUCAUUUUAAAAGCAAUUCAUCAUAAAUAAUUGAAAAUUGGCUAUAUUAAAUAUAUCUGUCAUUUUACUCAUUUCGUGCUCUUUCAAGUGCAUGUAUGUGCAGAUUUACCAUGUCAUUUGGUGAGCACUAUUAAAAGUGCUAUUAUAUUCUGAUUUUUAAAUCAUUUCAUUCUCAAAACAUACAAAUACUUAUAAAUAUAUAUAGAUAAUUUGGCGAUAUAAUGUAUUAUCAGUAAAUGAAGACAUUUUGUGAAAAAUAAGUUGUGCAAUGUGACAUUAAUGAAAAUGUAUUACAGAUUAUAUCUGAGAGACACUUAUGGCUAAGCUAGACAUAGGAGAUGAUGUUAGAAAUAUCCCAAAGCACCUUUAGACUAUCAAUUAACAAUCAAUAUUAUUUGAUAAAUGUUAACCAAUGGGUGCUAGUUCAUCUUGUCAGUUUUAUUUAAGUUUUAAACAGGUCCUUGUAAUGGUUUACAAAAAUGGAAUAAAAAUCAGGCUAAUAUCUCAAAAUGUCUCUCUGAUGUUAGAAACUUCAAACAAUUACGUUUGAGAGUAUAUUUUCCUCUAAAGAAACAAAAACUGUCUUCUCAAUAACUUGUUUGACUAUAUAUGGAAUUGAGGUAGAUUCUAUUUCUAUAGGAAGUAGAUUAUCUAAGACAUGAGAACAAACUUAUUAAUAUUUGACAAAUGUUGAGAGGGAUAGUCCAGGAUAAAUGUUCAAAAUUUGCCUGUCAAGUGGUCACACCUGGUCGUGCAUUGUUUGAGACUCUUCAUAGAUUUGAAUCCUGAGUGUAAUUGCAAACCAAACCAUUACAUAGAAAAUCAACUGCUAAGGAACAUGUUGAAUUAAGGCAAUGUAGCCUUUUAAUAUGGAUCAUUUUUGUGGCAAGUCAAUAUUUCAUCAGUAUUAGUGGUGUUCUUUACAGAAGCUACAAUUAUAAGUAGAUAGAUGUAUCUGGUGCUUUGGGUUUAGAAACUGUAUAAAGUUUAAAAUGGUCUGCUAAAUCUUAGUUAGAUAUUCAUAUAGAUUGUCAAAUUUAUCUUAAAGUUCUUCCAAUCAUUUUUCUAGUAGACAUUUGGGUCCCAUAUUUCAGUUAUAAAAAUUUGCCUUUUAGCUGAUAAUACAGCAUUUAUACCUUCAAAACUCAUAGUUUACUGUUUUAUCUUCCAUCUACAGAAAGAAUUCUUUGCAAUUUUUAAUUUUAUGAACCAAAUACUGUCUCCUCUAUGGUAGGAAAGUUGUCAAAAGAGCCAAGAGUUUCCAAUCACAAAACCCAUCUUAAUGAAUUAGUAUCUGACUUAUUUCACACUUUUCAAGAAGCAGAUACAAGAACCAACUAUCAGCAAUCUUCCUGAUACCUUGAACAUUUUUAUGCACUUAGGCAAACUCGUUCCUAUAAACAACACAUACAACUCAAAGUAAUUCAAAGACAAGCCAUAAUAUUUCUUGAUGAUAAUUCACUUUACAUAACAAUGAGAUAUUCCAAUCUAUAAAUGAUAGGCAUCCAGUGGUACAUACUUUAACAGCCAAUGACUUAAAAUGUCAAUUUUGUCCAGUUCAUGCCUUAAAAGUAUACAUUACUUAACAUCAACACACAUCUAGUCCUUUAUUCACCUUCAAAUCUGAUGAACCAGUUAAGUUCAAUUUUGUGGGAUUCCAAUCAAAACAUGCAAUACAGUAAAACUCGUUUAGUACGAACACAGAUAUUUCGAAUUCACGGAUAUAGCGAAGUCAUUUUUAAUCUCCAGCUAUAUAAAUUUAAGAAUUUCUUAUACGGUUAAAACGAAUUACGGAUAUAGCGAAGUAAUUUCAAAGGUCCCAGCGACUUUGUUAUAACGGAGUGUUGCUGUAUAAGUUUUCAACUGAUUGCUUUACUUUGGUCAUAGUUUUUUGUGUUUGUACUGCAAGUUUUGUACUGCUAGUGGCAGCUUAGAAUGGUUUAUCUGAAAUUGUAAUCCAACAACUCGGUCGUUGGCACUCAAAGACGUUACAUUAAAAUAAAUGCAGUCAGAUUUUAAAUUCCACAAUUGAUGUUAAGAAUUCUAAACUAAAUGUUUCCCUUAUACAUGUAUUGUCAUUGACUAUGAUAAGAGAGAAGUGAGCAUUUGGUUGUUUCUCUCCAGAAUUUAAUUAGGAUCUGAUAAACUUUUUACAUCAAAUUUCAGUGAUUUAACAUAUAAAUCAGUUCCAAACUAAAUGUUCCCCUUUAACAUAUACUGCCAUCGACUAUUGAAAGAGAGAAGUCAGCAUAUGGUUGUUUUUCUUCAGAAUUGAAAUAGGAUCUGAUAAACUUUUUACAUCCAUUUCAGUGAUUAAACGUAUAAAUCAAUUCCAAACUAAAUGUUUCCCCUUAUAUUAUAUGUACUGCCAUCGACUAUCCAAAGAGAGAAGUCAGCAUAUGGUUGUUUUUGUUUUUUUGUUUUUUUUUUUCCAGAAGUUUAUUAGAAUCUGAUAAACUUUUAACAUCCAUUUCAGUAAUUAAACACAUAAAUCAGGUCUAUUAGGCCAGCUAAUGGUUGCUGUGAUAAAUUGUAAAAAUUUUAUGGCAUCCUUUAAAAAAAAAAAAAAAAAAAAAAAAAACAAAAACAAAAACAAAAAAAAAACAAACAAAUUUAAACCUUCCGAGGUCAGCAUUUAGCUGCUUAAAUGAAAUAGUACUUUGGUCAGUGAUCUUGCAAAGUGUUCGCUUUGAAAAAUAAGUGCUAGUUAGAUGCACAUUUUACUCUUCAUAAUGGCAUUAAAUUUGCGAGCUAAUAUACUUGAGGACAGCACCCAUCUGCUCAUAAAAUUUAUGUAUGUUAGUUGGAAUUCAGCUUUAAAUUUGGUCUUGAGAAUUCUGUAUCAGGUCAGCAUAUGUCCGUUUACAAAAUUGUAUCAUGUCAUGAGCUUAGAAGUUCAAAAAUUUGUGUAUCAGGUCAGCAAACAGCUGCUUAUAAAAACUGUAUGUUAGUUGGAACUCAGCAGGAUUUUGUUCUGAAUUUUGUGCAUAAGUUCAGCAUAUGGAUGUUCAUAAAAUAUUAAUUGUAAAAAUGAGCUCAUGUUGUUUAUGAGGUAGCAUAUGGUCCCCUUUUUAGUCUCGUUAACCUUAUGUUAUUCACAGGUUUAGUAACCUUUGUCCUUUAUAUUUUGUUACUUAUUCAGAUAUAACUUUGUGCUUAUGUGGGUUAUUACAGUAAUAUUUAUGCUUAUUUAGUCAAUACAGUUAUAUGAUAUUCAGUUUACAAUGUUAUUAUCUGUUAAAGAACACAUGUUUGCUACACUUAAUAUUGAGCAGCAUAUAAUUUAUGAAAUGCCUUUCCUUGGGUGGCGCUGCAUGCCUCAUGCAAGCAUUUUGCAUGCUGUGUGGCCUCUUUGUUUACGCCACCUUCUUGUUACACAAACUUGGUAAUCAUUAUAUAACAAUAGCUGGGAUAAGCACUAAGUCGCAAUAUAUCAUAUCUAAGUUGAAACUAAUCAUUAUUUGGCCUUAUCCCAGCUAUAAUUUACAUUAUUGUAUGUAAUAUUGUAUAUUUAUGUGUUUUUGUUCACUUUCGUCAUUUAUUUGGUCAAUAAAUGACAUUUUCACUCAAUUCAAGUUCUCGUGUCUUCACUAGUUUUCAAGUAACAAGAACAAGCUACGGAAAGGCUUUUCAUAUUGUGAAGUUACUUUUAUUAGUGGAAAAGUUGUGGAUAUAAAUACAAUUUUAUGUCUCAUAAAAUGAUUUAUAUACAAUCUUUUUUACAUUGUUUUUGACAAAUUUAGAUUAAAUUUGCAGUUGUUAUUGAUUUUUUAUGUAAAAAGAGUGGGGUCGACUAGAUCGGGAUCGAACUCAUGUUUGGAUCGGGUUCAGCUUGAUCGGGAUCGAGUGCUCAAUUAAUUUGAUUUGACGCAAACAUGAGGUUGGAAUCAAUUUACCGCCACCUCCCCAUCCUCCUCCCAUGUAAUACCAAUAUUUGAAUUUUUGUUGUAUGGAAUUUUUUCCUCAUUGUAUAACAUCAAGCAUUUACCAUGUCGUGUGGCCUCUUUGUUUACGCAACCUUCUUGUUACACAAACUUGGUAAUCAUUAUAUAACAAUAGCUGGGAUAAGCACUAAUUCGCAAUAUAUCAUAUCUAAGUUGAAACUAAUCAUUAUUUGGCCUUAUCCCAGCUAUAAUUUACAUUAUUGUAUGUAAUAUUGUAUAUUUAUGUGUUUUUGUUCACUUUCGUCAUUUAUUUGGUCAAUAAAUGACAUUUUCACUCAA